Molecule: ribosomal RNA, 408 nt
Filed under: uncultured bacterium
Lineage: Bacteria
Description: partial 16S ribosomal RNA
Rfam family: Bacterial small subunit ribosomal RNA
Source: RNAcentral
GACGAACGCUGGCGGCGUGCUUAACACAUGCAAGUCGAACGGAGUGGCGAACGGGUGAGUAACACGUGGGUGACCUGCCCUGCACCUCGGGAUAAGCCUGGGAAACUGGGUCUAAUACCGGAUAGUGUGGGAUGGGGCCGCGGCCUAUCAGCUUGUUGGUGGGGUAAUGGCCUACCAAGGCGGCGACGGGUAGCCGGCCUGAGGGGGUGGACGGCCACAUUGGGACUGAGGCACGGCCCAGACGCCUACGGGAGGCAGCGGUGGGGAAUAUUGCACAAUGAGCGGAAGCCUGAUACAGCGACGCCGCGUGGGGGAUGACGGCCUUCGAGUUGUAAACUCCUUUCACCAUCGACGCGGUAGAUGGAGAGAAAGCACCGGCUAACUACGUGCCAGCAGCCGCGGUAAUUC